Molecule: ribosomal RNA, 305 nt
Filed under: uncultured bacterium
Lineage: Bacteria
Description: bacterial SSU rRNA
Rfam family: Bacterial small subunit ribosomal RNA
Source: RNAcentral
UUUCCCUACGGGGCGCAGCAGUGGGGGAUAUUGCACAAUGGGGGAAACCCUGAUGCAGCGACGCCGCGUGUGGGAAGACGGUCCUCUGGAUUGUAAACCACUGUCCCCAGGGACGAAAAUGACGGUACCUGGGGAGGAAGCUCCGGCUAACUACGUGCCAGCAGCCGCGGUAAUACGUAGGGAGCGAGCGUUAUCCGGAAUGAUUGGGCGUAAAGGGUGCGUAGGCGGCCUGCUAAGUCUGGAGUGAAAGGUACCGGCUCAACCGGUACAGGCUCUGGAAACUGGCGGGCUAGAGAGCAGGAGAG